UUCUACACAGGAUCUCAUAGUCACUUAAUAGUGCUGUGUUUUCCUGGGGAGA
Small nucleolar RNA from Ictidomys tridecemlineatus (thirteen-lined ground squirrel), 52 nucleotides. The record is from Ensembl. NCBI's taxonomy places the organism in Eukaryota, Metazoa, Chordata, Mammalia, Rodentia, Sciuridae.